RNAcentral lists this ribosomal RNA (498 nucleotides) under uncultured bacterium. Its description in RNAcentral is "partial 16S ribosomal RNA". It matches the Rfam family "Bacterial small subunit ribosomal RNA", at positions 28 to 508 of the family's 1533-position model. The record is from RNAcentral.
GAUGAACGCUGGCGGCGUGCCUAAUACAUGCAAGUCGAGCGAACAGACGAGGAGCUUGCUCCUCUGACGUUAGCGGCGGACGGGUGAGUAACACGUGGAUAACCUACCUAUAAGACUGGGAUAACUUCGGGAAACCGGAGCUAAUACCGGAUAAUAUAUUGAACCGCAUGGUUCAAUAGUGAAAGACGGUUUUGCUGUCACUUAUAGAUGGAUCCGCGCCGCAUUAGCUAGUUGGUAAGGUAACGGCUUACCAAGGCAACGAUGCGUAGCCGACCUGAGAGGGUGAUCGGCCACACUGGAACUGAGACACGGUCCAGACUCCUACGGGAGGCAGCAGUAGGGAAUCUUCCGCAAUGGGCGAAAGCCUGACGGAGCAACGCCGCGUGAGUGAUGAAGGUCUUCGGAUCGUAAAACUCUGUUAUUAGGGAAGAACAAAUGUGUAAGUAAAUAUGCACGUCUUGACGGUACCUAAUCAGAAAGCCACGGCUAACUACGUGC